Molecule: ribosomal RNA, 872 nt
Filed under: Lysinibacillus sp. USMW9
Lineage: Bacteria; Bacillati; Bacillota; Bacilli; Caryophanales; Bacillaceae
Description: bacterial SSU rRNA
Rfam family: Bacterial small subunit ribosomal RNA
Source: RNAcentral
GGAUUUCGGUUCGUAAAACUCUGUUGUAAGGGAAGAACAAGUACAGUAGUAACUGGCUGUACCUUGACGGUACCUUAUUAGAAAGCCACGGCUAACUACGUGCCAGCAGCCGCGGUAAUACGUAGGUGGCAAGCGUUGUCCGGAAUUAUUGGGCGUAAAGCGCGCGCAGGUGGUUUCUUAAGUCUGAUGUGAAAGCCCACGGCUCAACCGUGGAGGGUCAUUGGAAACUGGGAGACUUGAGUGCAGAAGAAGAUAGUGGAAUUCCAAGUGUAGCGGUGAAAUGCGUAGAGAUUUGGAGGAACACCAGUGGCGAAAGCGACUAUCUGGUCUGUAACUGACACUGAAGCGCGAAAGCGUGGGGAGCAAACAGGAUUAGAUACCCUGGUAGUCCACGCCGUAAACGAUGAGUGCUAAGUGUUAGGGGGUUUCCGCCCCUUAGUGCUGCAGCUAACGCAUUAAGCACUCCGCCUGGGGAGUACGGUCGCAAGACUGAAACUCAAAGGAAUUGACGGGGGCCCGCACAAGCGGUGGAGCAUGUGGUUUAAUUUGAAGCAACGCGAAGAACCUUACCAGGUCUUGACAUCCCGUUGACCACUGUAGAGAUAUGGUUUCCCCUUCGGGGCAACGGUGACAGGUGGUGCAUGGUUGUCGUCAGCUCGUGUCGUGAGAUGUUGGGUUAAGUCCCGCAACGAGCGCAACCCUUGAUCUUAGUUGCCAUCAUUUAGUUGGGCACUCUAAGGUGACUGCCGGUGACAAACCGGAGGAAGGUGGGGAUGACGUCAAAUCAUCAUGCCCCUUAUGACCUGGGCUACACACGUGCUACAAUGGACGAUACAAACGGUUGCCAACUCGCGAGAGGGAGCUAAUCCGAU